GAUGAACGCUAGCUACAGGCUUAACACAUGCAAGUCGAGGGGAAACGACAUCGAAAGCUUGCUUUUGAUGGGCGUCGACCGGCGCACGGGUGAGUAACGCGUAUCCAACCUGCCCACCACUUGGGGAUAACCUUGCGAAAGUAAGACUAAUACCCAAUGAUAUCUCUAGAAGACAUCUGAAAGGGAUUAAAGAUUUAUCGGUGAUGGUUGGGGAUGCGUCUGAUUAGCUUGAUGGCGGGGUAACGGCCCAACAAGGCGACGAUCAGUAGGGGUUCUGAGAGGAAGGUCACCCACAUUGGAACUGAGACACGGUCCAAACUCCUACGGGAGGCAGCAGUGGGGAAUAUUGGUCAAUGGACGAGGGUCUGAACCAGCAAAGUAGCGUGCAGGAUGACGGCCCUAUGGGUUGUAAACUGCUUUUAUAAGGGAAUAAAGUGAGUCUCGUGAGACUUUUUGCAUGUACCUUAUGAAUAAGGACCGGCUAAUUCCGUGCCAGCCGCCGCCGUAA
RNAcentral lists this ribosomal RNA (508 nucleotides) under uncultured bacterium. RNAcentral describes it as "partial 16S ribosomal RNA". It matches the Rfam family "Bacterial small subunit ribosomal RNA", at positions 28 to 523 of the family's 1533-position model. The record is from RNAcentral.